UGUAGUAUCAACUUCAGAUACCAACUGAUCUGUCUUGUCCUUUGCAGCAGCAACAAAAACACCACGCCAAAAUUUGGAUCAAUUGGGAGCUGUUUAAAUAUAAAUUACACCCACAAGUAUACCUUAUUGUGUAUAUACUGUCAAGAUGGAGUUAAAAUUCAGUUGCUUUUUUGUACAGUAAAAAUAAUGUCUCUCCUAACUCAUCUCAUCCCUCUGGUGUGUAAUUUACUCUUUCGAGUUAUGGCUGCAUGUACCAGAUUCUUAGAGUAAUUUGUAGCUCUCCUUAGCAUGUGAAUUUCCUUGGUACCAAUAUGUUAGUAUGUUAGUAUCUUGAAAGCCUCCCCAUCAUCCAAGUAUGGGGAGUAAUUAAUCACUGCCCGCAAUUUCCUCACAUUUCAUUUCAACUUAUUUUCGUGCUUCUAUUCAAUUAAGGUUCAAGCACGCUGUCCUGGUCACACCACAGCUAUCGGAGCUGUCUGUCCAGGACAGUGGGUUAGUUCUGAAUUGUUAGAGGGUUGCGAACCCAGUACCUACCAGCCUUAUGUCUGAUGGCUUAACCACGACGCCACAGAAGCUGAUCUUUUCCUCGCAGCAAGGUCUGAUGGCCAUAAUUCACAAAACGUAAUUUGUACUUGUAUCAAAUGCUAGCUAUUUUUAAUGUUUAAAUUCUGUUCUUUAAAUUACUUGAAAUUUACUUUUUGUUGCCUCAACUGAGGAAUUUCUGUUAAUUAAACAUGGAGAAUAUUUUAAUUGGUGAUCAUUUAUUUUGCAAACAUUUCUUAAAUCUUACAUUCAUUGACACGGAAGUGAUGAACAUGAUUCUGCCAAAUGAUAUAAAGUGAUAUCAAAAUUUUCCGUUCCAUUUCUGAUCCAUUCUGUCAUGAAUUUCACAUUUUACUUCACUGGUGUGUACAGGUGAAAUAUUUAUAUUGUAGAAUUAUAGUAAUAGGUAACUCGGCCCACAAUCAGGCUUGUAAAAAUAAAUAUUUAUUUUUGCAAAUUUAAUGUUACAUGUUUUGUUGUAGCGUCUGUGGAAAUAUGCUCACAUGUGGUAUGUUGGUUUUAGGAGCGUUUACUCUUUAAGGUAUGUCCUGUUUAAGUGAAUUGCAAAUACUUUGUUACUAGUAUUUUGUAGAAGUCUUUGUGGGUUUAAUAAAUUAAUGUAUAUCAAAAGCAAUUUUUGUUAAAAUGUUUAGUUGAUAUGUUUUUUUUUUACAUUUAAAAAAUUGUGAAGAAAUCUAGAUUUGGCUACUACAUCUUAACGACUAGUAUAUCAAAGGUCGUAGUUUGUCCUGUCAUGUCUGGGAAAUUACUGCUAAUGGAAAAAUGUAGUGGUUUUCCAUAUUUACAUAAAAUGUUCUGCAUUUAUUUAUUUCAGCAGUAAAUUAGAAAGGAGAUUUGAUCAAAUACCGGGAGGGUUGACAGGUCUGCCAGUAAUAUGUAGAAAGGGAGAAACACAUUGUUCAUUUAUGUGUAAGAUGAUGCAUUUUAAAGGUUGUCUUCACUUGAAAUGGAUGAAAUUUGACACCUCCCGUUAACAUCGACUCGUCCAGGACACCAUGUGGAACUGCUGAUUAAAUGACAAUACAAGACUAUAACUGAUGGUCAUCACUACAUUUUUAGCACUGCCAAUAUUCGCGGUGGAAAGAACUGGCUGGAACGAGAAAUAGCCCAAUAGGCCUACCAACGGGAAUCGAUUUCAAGAUCAACGCAUGAGACAAAUGCUGUACGACUGAGCUAUGUCCUGCCCCCAUUGAUUUGAAAUUUCAGUGGAUACAGACAGUUAAAUGUAAAUUCAAUAGGCAGCUAAGUUGUAUGGUAUUUUAAUGACAUGGGGGCCAUAUAUACAUGAAACUUUCAUCUUGUGUUGAUCAAGAUUCCAACCUACCAAAAAAUAAGUAAAUAUUAUUGAUGACUUGAAUGACGUACAAAAAAACUAAAUGUGAUUAACAUACAAUAUACAUAUAGUAAUUAACAUGAACAACAGUAUAGUAUCUAGCAUAUCGGAAUCAAGAAAAACCAAGACGGAUAACCGGAAAUCUAUUUUCAAGAUCCAGGUGAAGCACACUAGAACGAUACUAGAUGAUUAAAUAGUCCGUUAUAUUUAGAAAAAAUGUAAUUUCAGUA
RNAcentral lists this long non-coding RNA (2127 nucleotides) under Gigantopelta aegis. RNAcentral describes it as "uncharacterized LOC121382664, transcript variant X1". The stretch from base 802 to 873 matches the Rfam family "Small nucleolar RNA SNORD47". Lineage: Eukaryota; Metazoa; Mollusca; Gastropoda; Neomphalida; Peltospiridae. The record is from RNAcentral.